AGCAAACCUUGGGUCUUCCUGUUUAAAGUAAUUUACAAUACAUGCUUCAAUAUCAAAUUCAGGAAGGAAAACAUACAUUAUAAUUAAAAGUGAAGGAAAGUGACUACUGAGGUGUGUUCCUCUUAUGACAAAUUACAAUGACGCAAGAGGACAACACAAAUCACAUAAGCAUGUUUAAAGACUCUGCUCAUGUCCUAUCCUCCCACUAACAUUCCAUUGGCCAAAGCAAGCCUCAUGGCCAAAGUCAACAUUUAUAGGGCAAAAAAAUAUGCCCCACCCUCACUAGUGGGUGGUACUGAAAAACACAUGGGAAAUCCAUGGAUGCAACAGUCCCAGCAGUAUGUAAUCUGAAAGCAUCCAUUUUUAUGAAGAAGUGUACACAAAUUCAGGCUAAGGUGCUAUUAUAAAAUUGUAAGGGCUUCUUAAUCAAACCUGUGACACGGCAGGUAGAUUUAUUCUGACAAGGUAAUGAAUGAUACGGCUUUGGUGGGAGUGCCAGGUAAAACCAAUUAUCAUCAACUUGACAUGACAGGGUAUGAAAUGCCUCCCCGGACUCACCCUC
This 562-nucleotide long non-coding RNA is filed under the name Pan troglodytes (chimpanzee). Its description in RNAcentral is "long non-coding RNA NONPTRT017212". The record is from RNAcentral. Lineage: Eukaryota; Metazoa; Chordata; Mammalia; Primates; Hominidae.